Molecule: ribosomal RNA, 389 nt
Filed under: uncultured bacterium
Lineage: Bacteria
Description: bacterial SSU rRNA
Rfam family: Bacterial small subunit ribosomal RNA
Source: RNAcentral
GGCGAACGCUGGCGGCGUGCUUAACACAUGCAAGUCGAGCGGUAAGGCCCUUUCGGGGGUACACGAGCGGCGAACGGGUGAGUAACACGUGGGUGACCUGCCCUCAGCUCUGGGAUAAGCCUGGGAAACCGGGUCUAAUACCGGAUACGACUCCAUGACGCAUGUUGUGGGGUGGAAAGCCUUGUGCGGCUGAGGAUGGGCCCGCGGCCUAUCAGCUUGUUGGUGGGGUGAUGGCCACCAAGGCGACGACGGGUAGCCGGCCUGAGAGGGCGACCGGCCACACUGGGACUGAGACACGGCCCAGACUCCUACGGGAGGCAGCAGUGGGGAAUCUUGCGCAAUGGGCGAAAGCCUGACGCAGCGACGCCGCGUGAGGGAUGACGGCCUGU